RNAcentral lists this ribosomal RNA (674 nucleotides) under Bacillus sp. 7BL. RNAcentral describes it as "bacterial SSU rRNA". It matches the Rfam family "Bacterial small subunit ribosomal RNA", at positions 60 to 717 of the family's 1533-position model. Lineage: Bacteria; Bacillati; Bacillota; Bacilli; Caryophanales; Bacillaceae. The record is from RNAcentral.
AGUCGAGCGGACAGAAGGGAGCUUGCUCCCGGAUGUUAGCGGCGGACGGGUGAGUAACACGUGGGUAACCUGCCUGUAAGACUGGGAUAACUCCGGGAAACCGGAGCUAAUACCGGAUAGUUCCUUGAACCGCAUGGUUCAAGGAUGAAAGACGGUUUCGGCUGUCACUUACAGAUGGACCCGCGGCGCAUUAGCUAGUUGGUGGGGUAAUGGCUCACCAAGGCGACGAUGCGUAGCCGACCUGAGAGGGUGAUCGGCCACACUGGGACUGAGACACGGCCCAGACUCCUACGGGAGGCAGCAGUAGGGAAUCUUCCGCAAUGGACGAAAGUCUGACGGAGCAACGCCGCGUGAGUGAUGAAGGUUUUCGGAUCGUAAAGCUCUGUUGUUAGGGAAGAACAAGUGCGAGAGUAACUGCUCGCACCUUGACGGUACCUAACCAGAAAGCCACGGCUAACUACGUGCCAGCAGCCGCGGUAAUACGUAGGUGGCAAGCGUUGUCCGGAAUUAUUGGGCGUAAAGGGCUCGCAGGCGGUUUCUUAAGUCUGAUGUGAAAGCCCCCGGCUCAACCGGGGAGGGUCAUUGGAAACUGGGAAACUUGAGUGCAGAAGAGGAGAGUGGAAUUCCACGUGUAGCGGUGAAAUGCGUAGAGAUGUGGAGGAACACCAGUGGCG